This 184-nucleotide unclassified non-coding RNA is filed under the name Glomeraceae sp. RNAcentral's name for it is "partial contains 5.8S ribosomal RNA and internal transcribed spacer 2". The stretch from base 1 to 71 matches the Rfam family "5.8S ribosomal RNA", at positions 84 to 154 of the family's 154-position model. Lineage: Eukaryota; Fungi; Glomeromycota; Glomeromycetes; Glomerales; Glomeraceae. The record is from RNAcentral.
GUGAAUCAUCAAAUUUUUGAACGCAAAUUGCACUCUCUGGUAUUCCGGAGAGUAUGCCUGUUUGAGGGUCAGUUUAAAUAAAAAUCGGUGUGGUUGCUGGGUUCUGUGGUGACACACUGGAUUUGGGUCGGCCUGCAGUCGGUUAAGUGACCGAAAAUUGUGCAUGAGUUUUUUCGAAUGUAUU